GAAAGAUUAUGAUCAUCAUACGGGGACUACUUCAUUUGCCCAGAUUGAGGAUCAAUUUUGUAGGACAACGAACGCUCCCUUUAUCCCGCUACCAGAACUGCACAGGAGGACGAUGGUUCAAUUUAAGAAGGGGUACGAUGACGAUGAGAAUAGGAAACAAAAGCUAGAAUUGGCCAAGAAAAUGCAGGAAGCUCUGGAAAACACAUAUUCUGAGGUUGUUGCACAGAGCCAAGAGCCCCUGACUAGAGAGCAGAAUUAUAAUGUGAGCCAUUUAGUUUGUGGACUUCCCAAAAAGGGGAGGACCAGGUGGAUGGGAGUUGGAGCUCAGAGGGUGUCUACACAAU
Asparagus officinalis (garden asparagus) is the source of this 344-nucleotide long non-coding RNA. RefSeq lists it as uncharacterized. Lineage: Eukaryota; Viridiplantae; Streptophyta; Magnoliopsida; Asparagales; Asparagaceae. The transcript is spliced from 3 exons. The record is from RefSeq and is a predicted model, not a curated record.